CAAUAGCGUAUAUUAAAGUUGUUGCAGUUAAAAAGCUCGUAGUUGGACUUCUGCGGGUGGCGGCCGGUCGUGCUCGAAACGGGCGUGAAUUUGGCGUGCUGCCCGCAUCUUUGGGGAGAUUGUGCGUGGCAUUAAGUUGUCGUGCAUGGGAUUCUCAUCAUUUACUGUGAAAAAAUUAGAGUGUUUAAAGCAGGCCUUUGCCUUGAAUACAUUAGCAUGGAAUAAUAAGAUAGGACCGUUGUCUAUUUUGUUGGUUUACAGAUGUCGGUAAUGAUUAAUAGGGAUAGUUGGGGGUAUUCGUAUUCAGUUGUCAGAGGUGAAAUUCUUGGAUUUUCGGAAGACGCACGACUGCGAAAGCAUUUACCAAGGAUGUUUUCAUUAA
This 382-nucleotide ribosomal RNA is filed under the name uncultured eukaryote. RNAcentral describes it as "partial 18S ribosomal RNA". It matches the Rfam family "Eukaryotic small subunit ribosomal RNA", at positions 592 to 976 of the family's 1831-position model. The record is from RNAcentral.